RNAcentral lists this ribosomal RNA (516 nucleotides) under uncultured bacterium. Its description in RNAcentral is "bacterial SSU rRNA". It matches the Rfam family "Bacterial small subunit ribosomal RNA", at positions 17 to 518 of the family's 1533-position model. The record is from RNAcentral.
UCCUGGCUUAGGAUGAACGCUAGCUACAGGCUUAACACAUGCAAGUCGAGGGGUAACGAUUGGCUGAGCUUGCUCAGCCAGAUGACGACCGGCGCACGGGUGAGUAACGCGUAUCCAACCUGCCCAUGGGUCAGGAAUAACCUUCCGAAAGGGAGCCUAAUACCUGAUGCAGUGAGAAGAAGGCCUCUGAUUUUCACGAAAGACUUCGGUCGCCGAUGGAUGGGGAUGCGUACGAUUAGGCAGCAGGCGGGGUAACGGCCCACCUGGCCUACGAUCGUUAGGGGUUCUGAGAGGAAGGUCCCCCACACUGGUACUGAGACACGGACCAGACUCCUACGGGAGGCAGCAGUGAGGAAUAUUGGUCAAUGGGCGCAAGCCUGAACCAGCCAAGUAGCGUGCAAGGACGACUGCCCUAUGGGUUGUAAACUGCUUUUAUGCGGGGAUAAAGUUUGCCACGUGUGGCAAUUUGCAGGUACCGCAUGAAUAAGGACCGGCUAAUUCCGUGCCAGCAGCCGC